GAGCUCAGUUGGUAGAGCAUGAGACUCUUAAUGCCAGGGUCAUGGGUUCAAGCUCCACAUUG
RNAcentral lists this transfer RNA (62 nucleotides) under Podarcis lilfordi (Lilford's wall lizard). RNAcentral's name for it is "tRNA.Lys". Lineage: Eukaryota; Metazoa; Chordata; Lepidosauria; Squamata; Lacertidae. The record is from RNAcentral.